RNAcentral lists this ribosomal RNA (429 nucleotides) under Micromerys raveni. RNAcentral describes it as "partial 16S ribosomal RNA". It matches the Rfam family "Bacterial large subunit ribosomal RNA", at positions 1830 to 2597 of the family's 2925-position model. The record is from RNAcentral. Lineage: Eukaryota; Metazoa; Arthropoda; Arachnida; Araneae; Pholcidae.
UUCCAUAAGAUCUAAUUUAUGGUACAACCUGCUCAAUGUACAUAUAAAUAGCCGCAGCCCAGCUGUGCUAAGGUAGCACAAUAACUUGCCUCCUAAUUAGAAGAUAGAAUGAAGGGUAACACAUUUAAUACAUGUCUCCUUUAACCACAAAUUAAAUUAAAAUAAGGGUUAAAAUUCCCUUAACGCAAGGCGGGACGAUAAGACCCUGAUAAACUUAACAUUUAGUUGGGGAAACGAACUAAUUACUAUUUACAAACAAAUCUCAACAAAACUAAAACAUUAAAUAUAGAAAAGUUACUACAGGGAUAACAGCGCAAUUUCUUUUAAGAGAUCUUAUCAAAAAAGAAGAUUACGACCUCGAUGUUGAAUUAGCUUACCUGAUAAGGAGCAAAAUCCUAUUAAGGUGGUCUGUUCGACCAUAAAACAGCU